GAUGAACGCUGGCGGCGUGCCUAAUACAUGCAAGUCGAGCGAACGGACGAGAAGCUUGCUUCUCUGAUGUUAGCGGCGGACGGGUGAGUAACACGUGGAUAACCUACCUAUAAGACUGGGAUAACUUCGGGAAACCGGAGCUAAUACCGGAUAAUAUUUUGAACCGCAUGGUUCAAAAGUGAAAGACGGUCUUGCUGUCACUUAUAGAUGGAUCCGCGCUGCAUUAGCUAGUUGGUAAGGUAACGGCUUACCAAGGCAACGAUGCAUAGCCGACCUGAGAGGGUGAUCGGCCACACUGGAACUGAGACACGGUCCAGACUCCUACGGGAGGCAGCGGUAGGGAAUCUUCCGCAAUGGGCGAAAGCCUGACGGAGCAACGCCGCGUGAGGGAUGAAGGUCUUCGGAUCGUAAAACUCUGUUAUUAGGGAAGAACAUAUGUGUAAGUAACUGUGCACAUCUUGACGGUACCUAAUCAGAAAGCCACGGCUAACUACGUG
Molecule: ribosomal RNA, 497 nt
Filed under: uncultured bacterium
Lineage: Bacteria
Description: partial 16S ribosomal RNA
Rfam family: Bacterial small subunit ribosomal RNA
Source: RNAcentral